Molecule: long non-coding RNA, 825 nt
Organism: Micropterus dolomieu (smallmouth bass)
Lineage: Eukaryota; Metazoa; Chordata; Actinopteri; Centrarchiformes; Centrarchidae
Exons: 2
Source: RefSeq, a predicted model, not a curated record
UCUAGUAAUGCGUCAACUCAUAAGAAGUCACUUUUUUUCAGUUUAAAUCUCUUUGUUUCCUUUAACGUCCUAUUUUAAGAUCCAUCUCAGUGCUGAGCCUACCCAAUGUUAUCAGUUUCUAGCACAAGAGCCCACAAUCAGUUCAACCAAAUAGUUGAUCCUUUUUGGUUUCAAGCAUUGCUUUGUCUUCCACAUACUGGCUUUGACUUCUCAGUGAUAAAUCAGCGGGGUUCCCUUCCUCUUUGCUGGACAGGUCCAAACCUGUGUCCAUUAGGACAGAGGAGCCACUGGAAGAUGACGCUGAGGCCUCUAUUGCGGAGGUGGUGCUGGUAUCCAUUCGGCUGUUGUUAACCAUCCUUACAAUGAAGAGGGAGCAAAAGUGCAGCUGCAAGGCCUGGUCACUGGAGCAUGUGAAGGUGCAUUUGUGGCAACGGAACACCAGGCCCUGAAGGUGACGUGACAGCUUGGAGCGGCUGACCUCCAGUGGACCCACACGCUCCUCUGGUGGAGGAGGAGGAGAAAGUGAAGUGGAUUAUUAGGUUGGAGAAAUGGAAGGCAAUGGAAAUAAUGGCAGAGCAGGGUAGAGGGAAAGAAGAGCAGCGAGAGAUAACGACAGAACAAUUUUAUAUACAAAAGAAAGAUAGUCCCAUAUUAAAACUAGCAAAAACACCCCCCAAAAGGUGUUACUGACUUACCGCAUCAGUUCCAUCCCUCUGUGCUUGCUUGUAUUCAAAGUGUCUAGUGUUACCUUUCAGUUCUUAUGACUGUUCUAAUACACUGUAUGCAAUGCCUUCAUUAUUCAAUAAAUGAAUAGCUCCACUUGUA